This 261-nucleotide ribosomal RNA is filed under the name uncultured archaeon. RNAcentral's name for it is "partial 16S ribosomal RNA". It matches the Rfam family "Archaeal small subunit ribosomal RNA", at positions 748 to 1009 of the family's 1478-position model. The record is from RNAcentral.
CAGCCGUAAACUAUGCUCACUAGGUGUCAGGCAUGGCGCGACCGUGUCUGGUGCCGCAGGGAAGCCGUGAAGCGAGCCACCUGGGAAGUACGGCCGCAAGGCUGAAACUUAAAGGAAUUGGCGGGGGAGCACAACAACGGGUGGAGCCUGCGGUUUAAUUGGACUCAACGCCGGACAACUCACCGGGGACGACAGCAAUAUGUAGGCCAGGCUGAAGACCUUGCCUGAAUCGCUGAGAGGAGGUGCAUGGCGUAGUCGUGU